RNAcentral lists this ribosomal RNA (586 nucleotides) under Entamoeba dispar. Its description in RNAcentral is "SSU rRNA". It matches the Rfam family "Eukaryotic small subunit ribosomal RNA", at positions 965 to 1437 of the family's 1831-position model. Lineage: Eukaryota; Evosea; Mastigamoebida; Endamoebidae. The record is from RNAcentral.
UGGGUCCAUUAUUCAAGAACGAAAGUUAGGGGAUCGAAGACGAUCAGAUACCGUCGUAGUGCUAACUAUAAACGAUGUCAACCAAGGAUUGGAUGAAAUUCAGAUGUACAAAGAUGAAGAAACAUUGUUUCUAAAUCCAAGUAUAUCAAUACUACCUUGUUCAGAACUUAAAGAGAAAUCUUGAGUUUAUGGACUUCAGGGGGAGUAUGGUCACAAGGCUGAAACUUAAAGGAAUUGACGGAAGGGCACACCAGGAGUGGAGCCUGCGGCUUAAUUUGACUCAACACGGGAAAACUUACCAAGACCGAACAGUAGAAGGAAUGACAGAUUAAGAGUUCUUUCAUGAUUUAUUGGGUAGUGGUGCAUGGCCGUUCUUAGUUGGUGGAGUGAUUUGUCAGGUUAAUUCCGGUAACGAACGAGACUGAAACCUAUUAAUUAGUUUUCUGCCUAUAAGACAGAAAUGUUCGCAAGAACAGGUGCGUAAGUACCACUUCUUAAAGGGACACAUUUCAAUUGUCCUAUUUUAAUUGUUAGUUAUCUAAUUUCGAUUAGAACUCUUUUAACGUGGGAAAUUAACGUGGGAAAU